AGGAUGAACGCUGGCGGCGUGCCUAAAACAUGCAAGUCAUACGGGCUACCUUCGGGUAGCCAGUGGCAAACGGGUGAGUAACACGUGGGAACGCGCCUCGGGGUGGGAAUAACGCUGAGAAAUCAGUGCUAAUACCGCAUAUGGUCUAACGACUAAAGCAGCAAUGCGCCCGGAGAGCGGCCCGCGACCGAUUAGCUAGUUGGUGGGGUAAUGGCCUACCAAGGCGGUGAUCGGUAGCUGGUCUGAGAGGACGACCAGCCACACUGGGACUGAGACACGGCCCAGACUCCUACGGGAGGCAGCAGUGAGGAAUUUUCCGCAAAUGGGCGAAAGCCUGACGGAGCGACGCCGCGUGCACGAGGAAGGUCUUCGGAUCGUAAAGUGCUGUCGAGGGGACGAUUAUGACGGUACCCUCGGAGGAAGCCCGGCUAACUACGUGCCAGCAGCCGC
This 450-nucleotide ribosomal RNA is filed under the name uncultured bacterium. RNAcentral describes it as "SSU rRNA". It matches the Rfam family "Bacterial small subunit ribosomal RNA", at positions 26 to 518 of the family's 1533-position model. The record is from RNAcentral.